Molecule: long non-coding RNA, 6880 nt
Organism: Monodelphis domestica (gray short-tailed opossum)
Lineage: Eukaryota; Metazoa; Chordata; Mammalia; Didelphimorphia; Didelphidae
Source: RefSeq, a predicted model, not a curated record
AUCACAGGUGAGAGAUGUGUGUGAAUUCUGGAGGCAAUGCCAAGUCUGUCAGAUUUCUUGAUUACAAAGACUUUUAGAUUAUUUACUCCGAGAAACUAAGGAGUAGAGAAUCUCUAUCCCGGAGGACUCAAAUGCUUGCAGUCAGAUUAUGGGAUGGGCUUCACUUCAAUUGAAGGUAAUGAAGAUCAUCUCUUCUGAAGAAAAAUUGGCUGGAUGCACUUCCAGUCUGGGCCUCACAGUCAUCACUGAGGGGAACAAAGUAUGUGGAAACACAUCUAGACAACUACCCUUACUAAUUGCUGCAGCUCUAAGCUUACCAGCAGCCACAGCUAUUAAAGACUUUGGAAAGAAAUUUUAUCACCAGAAUGUCUAUGAACAAUGAGAAAUGGUUCACCAUCAAAACCAGACAUAAUUCAAUCAUAGUAAAUGUCACUAAAGAAGAUGCCCCAUCUACCGUGCUUCUGGACCAUUAGGACUAUUGCAUCUUUUCAUCUGGCCUGCAACUGUAACUGUGUUGUCUCAUCCUGUUAGAAUGUGAGUUUCUUGAGAGCAGGGAUUGUCUUGCUUUAUAUUUGUUUCUUUGCACCUAGUAAUAAGUUUUCCUUUUUAUGACUUAGAAAAGAAUGUGGUAUCAAGAAAAUCUGCCCUUUCCCUUUAUCCAUUCUUUUCAUUUCAAUGACAUUAAUUUGGAACAACCCUUUCUAAGAGAUAUUGUCUUCAUUGUCAUCAUCAACCAUUAUCAUUGUUCUUCUCCCCCUUCUAAAAGAAGCUUUACAAGAGUUUUCAGCUUGGAGCCCUCGAACUUAUUCUUUUGAUUUUAUAUAUGUUGACAACUGUAGUCGAAUAUAAUUGGUUUCCCUUGUAAUACAAAUAUUUUCUUUUAUAUAUUUUUAAAAUACCCCAAUAUCCUCUCCCCCACACAGAAGGGACAUCCUUCUCCAGUACAGUACAGUGGGAUUCUCCAGUAUGCCAAAGGGGUCCAUGACAUUAAAAUGGUUAAGAACUGUGUUCUAUAAUAGAAUAGCAAAGACUGGCAUCUUAAAGUCUGCAAAAUUCUUUAUCUAUGUGGCUUCAAUUGAGCGUCACAGCAGUUUUGUGACAUAAUACAUAUAUAAUACAUAUUAUAAAAUCUCCAUUUUGCAGAUAAGAAAACAGAGGCUUAGAUUAAAUGGCAGGUCUAAGAUCACAGAAUUAUUAGUGCCAGAAUGGAGAUUGAAAUCCAGAUAGGAUUCCAAGUCCAGCUGUCUAUCCGUUACAAUAUACCGUUUUGCCUCUAAUCAUGUAUAAUAAUAAUAAUAAUAGCAAGCUAAGCUCCCAAUUCACAGGUCUCUUGCAUCAAUCAUCCUUCCUCGUCCACUCUGUGGCUCUCUUUUGUUUGAUGCUUCUGAAGGAUGCAAGUUUUUAUUCUCGCUUCUAAUGUGCCCACAUGGAAGCAUCAGGCUGUCCGCUUGAUGCCUUGCUUCUCCUCUGUCUGUCUGUGUGGCCCCUUUUGUCCUUUCUCGCCUCUCAUUUUCUCUUUCUAUCUCAGUCCUUUCUCUCCCAUCUCUUCUUGCCUGCUUUACAACCAGGCCCUUGUGACGAGGCGAAGGACACUUGGGAGACUCCGCUUUAGCUGCACCAGGCACCCACCCCAAGCGGAGGCAAUUUCCAGUUCUCGAUAACCAGACUACAAUGGAAAAGGUCAGUGGUUUCAACUGGCAUGGGUCCAGCCUUGCUCCUAAGUACUAAGACCUAAAGGGCUGACACCUAGGCUUGAAUACUAGGACAAAAUUCCCCUGUGUCACAACCAAUCAUAAGUGCCGUGGGGCACUGACCCCCCCCCCCCCAUAUAUAUAUAUAUAUAUAUAUAUACCAAGGCUAUACUAGGCCUUGACCACUAGCCCACACCUCCUUUAGACAUAGGUCACAAGACUAAGCCUGCCAUGGCCUUUGAAGCCCACCUCAUUAAAAGCAAUAGGCCUGAGUGAUGGAGUGAAGUUCAUUUGGGGGCAUGACCGCUAAUCUCCCACUCUUUUGGGUACUCAUCAUUAAGCACCGACUGGCCUCUAGAGGGGCCCCGUCUUCUGGACCUCAUCUUCACUAGGUCUCAAACAUUAAGCUACUAAGAACUCCCAAUCCCAAGUAGCACCCCUCCCCCAGGCACGGACGCCCAGCCAGGCUAUCUGGGAUUCUGGAAUUCAAGCCACACUUACGUGCUCCCUUUACUUACUACAGGCCGUCGUUGCCCCAAUUUGCCCCAUUUCUGGGCCAAAUUUCUACUAGCCUUCCCUCUGCUUGGCCCCUGUCGAUGGUCAGCUGGGCCUGUCCCCCGGCUCUGGCCUCAGAGGCAGCGCCACGACUUCCCCAUGACUUAGAUCUUUGAGAAAAAAAUCACGGUGCAAGAAGAACCCCAGAGCACACCUCCAACUAGUCUGGAUAAUCAGGCAACAGUUCCACCAAACUAAUACAACAGAACCAUGCCGCUAUUAGGUCCACUCGCCAGGCGGAGGGCCCCGGGAGCUCUGGCUACCAGGCUGAGCCUGCACUGAUCUCUGACCACUAAAAUGAGGCUCAAUCUCGGUUCUAACACUAGACCCACACCAUGCAGAAUAGAGAAGUUCUAUGGUGUUUAAAAGACAUCAACUCAUACACCAUUGGGGAGGGGGUAAUUAUUGUCGUGUUGUAAGCAAUUCUGUCACCAAUGAAAACAAUUGAAAGUCAUAUUUGUAAGCGGAUCCUCUGGCAGAAGAGGGGAUAUUCCACUCCUCAGCCCAGUCAAAACAUGUCAACUAGUUAUAUGGUCUGUUUAUUUUGUGUCUCCUGGAUCCCAAAUGGCCACCCUAUGUUAGGGGAAGGAAAUGUCCUUCUCCAGUACAGUUGUUGGCCAUUCCUUCAUCUCUGCAUGGUUCUGAAAGGAGUGGGGUGAAUUUUGUUCAAUUGUUUCACCCAAAGGAGAACUCCACUUUUAGCCAUUUUAGCUAAGAUUUCUCUCAGGCUCUCUGAGACAUGUGCUUGACUCCAUCAUGCCCAGUGGUUGAUGGCCACAAAUCUGGCCCAAUCUCAAGACAUUUCGUCUCAAUCCCUCUCAGAGUCAGAAAUAAUUGGGUUCAAGUUCUACCUCUGAUACAUACUUGUUGUGUGACCCUAGGUAAGUCAUUUUAUUUCUCAGUGCCCCAAGUAACUCUCUAAGACUAUAAAUUGCAGAAUAGUUGCCUUCCUGGGAACUCAGCACACAAAUGACAAAAAGGCCAUAGUUAUCACCUGGGGAUAUCUACUGUCCAAAGGAAGCCUGAUAUUGGAGGAAAGGUGAUAGAACAAAGUAAUGUGGUAAGAAGAAGAACUGUCCAAUUCAAAGGAUGGUUAUCAACACUGAAUUGGCCUGGUGACAAAAGUCUUUGAGAAGGACCUGGACCAAGGCUGCUGCUGAAGAAGAGACCACAAGAGCCAAAAAUGUAUUGCAAGUAAGGGAAAACCAGCUCAAUAGUUGCCUUUAGGAAUGGGGAGUGGGGGUUUGAAAAAAAUAAUACCUAACAUUGACCAGCACCUAUGAAGUGAGAGUUUGGGGAAAAUAUCUCUGCAUAUAAAGAAAAAAUUGAGAGUAAAGGAAUAGGACUAUAAAGCUGUAUCCACGGAAAUCCUCAGCCUGUAUUUAUUUAUUACCCUCCUUUCUGGCCAACAAAAGGACUGCUCUUAUACCGAAGGAGACCUCCACUAGCUGAGAGACCAAACCAAAGACAAAUUCAUUUCCCCAUCCAAUCACACUGUAUCUUUAUCAAAUCCUGUGACUCUGAGGCUUACAUACUCCUCCCUCCCAAAACACCAUCUUAUUUCUGCUGUAGACACUGUGAAUUGGCCGGAUGCUCUAAGUGAGCCUAAAAAACUAGUCAAACCCAAUUGUACUCUAAGGAGGUGAAGCUGCUACCAGCUUGAGUAGGCUUCCUCAAUACCUUAACACAUUUCUUUUCCAUUUAGUGUGGUCACUCACUUUCUUUAAAACCUAGCCUUAGAGAUCUGGUACAGAUGGAGUUGGUUGUGGACAGAUUCUCUGUGGACUCUCAAGGAACUGAAAGCUGUGAAAACUGCCACAAUAUCCCUUAGUUUCCAAAGCAGUUCCUAUCUAUUGUUUCUUUAGAUCCUCACAAGGCAUCCCUGGCAUAUAUCAACAGCACGAUUAUCUCAUUUAACAGAUAGAGAAAUCUUUCAUGUUCAAUAAAAUUACUUUGCUUUACACUUUUAGAAACAUGUUCCUGAAAACCUUUGAGAUAGUGAAUAUUUUCUAGAAUAAGGAAACUGAGAUGCAGAGAGGCUGAAUGACUUUCUCAGUAUCAGAGGUAUGACUGGAGAAUAAUAGAACUAGGAUGUAGAGGAAGGUUAUUAAUAUUUAAAGGGGUUAAGUGACUUUCUAAAGGCAACAUGGCCAGUGAAGGAGCAGAAGAAUGAUUCUUCUUCUGAGUAAUCAUGCCUUCUUUCCUGCCUUGUGUGGUAGGGCUAAAUGAGAAAUAAACUCUCAGAACCAAUCCACCAAAACAAAUUCCCCACAUUAGCCAUGUACAGAAAACACUCGUCUCCAUAUAAUAUGUUAUCUAAAGCCAGUUCUAACACUGAUUUUGCAAAAUAAUCUCACAAUAUUUUCUUCGAGACUCCAAAAUAGAUCCCCCCAAAAGGAAUUUCCUAGAUUCUCAAGUCAAGGGUGAGAGAAGAAAUUUCAUUUCUGAGAUUGUGUGACAAUCCUUUAGGAAAUUGGAGAUGUGAAAGCAUAUAAAAAUCCUCUAUUUUUUAGCGAACUGAAAAGGUUAAGAAAUAAAUAUGACUCUAGUCUAAUAAAUGUAUAUCUGUGGAGGAGACAGACAUGACUCUUGUAAGUUUGGGGGAAACAUCUUCUCCCUAGAUAAAAUAAUUUCUGAGGCCAAGGAAAUAGACGUAUGGGUUUGAUAUUUUAUUUCCCCCGUUAUUGGUGACAAUAAGAUGAACCAAACUAAUUCUAUCUCAAAGAAGGACUCUACCACCUUAAGAGAUAUACUGCCAAAAAAGGGAUAUUCUGAUAACACAAACCAUGGGAAAAUGCAUGUUCCCACAGGAACAAAUCUGACUGUUAGCAAUUCCUGUGACUCUUUACUUUUCUGCCACAGAAUGCCACUGUUUGGCUGUGUACUCUAUGACAACCUAAAAUCCUAUAAAAACCCAAUCUGAACCCUAAGAGGCUGAAGCUACUACCAGCUUGAAUCAUCUUUCUUAUAAACUAAUGAAUUUAUUUUCCUUCCAAUUUGGCUACUCAUUUUAUUGGACCCAGGAUGAAUUUGUUCCUGAGUUCUCAAGAAAUGCAGUCUAGGAAAUUCAUCUAUGCUUGUUUGGGCAUUUCUCUGAAGCAGAAAUGCUUAGAUUUAGAAUAACGUUAGAUUAAAUAAAAUUCUUUCAGGCAGACCUAUAACUGAAAUGCAGAAGACGGUAUUCAGGUUUGUUUUUUUUUCCUUUACAAAAGCAAAUUGUAUUUUCAUAAAACCAGGGCUAAGAAACACUAGAGAGUAGCUAGACCCUCUUCUAAAUCUACCCCAUUUCCCUUUUCUGUCACCCAAACAGUCAUGCUAGUGACUCGGCAUUCUGCCCAACUCCAAAAUGUCUUUUACCAGUAGGAGCUAUAAAGAGCACAGGCACCAGAAUAUUUCAAAUAUCUCAAAACUGAAGCAGUCCUUUUCCUAAUAGCCUUGGUGGCUAGAAGUUUUCCUACUUAGGGGAGACGAAAAGACUAAUACUCCGGUAGAAAAACACAAUCCUCUCAGGAGAAGCUAUUUCUCUGAAAAGACUGAUUUAGAAUUUAAUUGUCCUUCGUCAAGAGAAAUACUGAGUCUGAUGCUGAAAGGAUAUGAGGAAGCAACAAAAACUCCUGAGAAUCAGAAAAUCCCAUUUUUCAUAGAACUAAAAGUCCAAGCUCUUUUUAUUCCAGGUACCAGGAGAGUCCAUAGGAUAAGGUUCACCUCUUACAUCUCUGUUUAUACCAACUGGCCCCAGAAGAUAAUGGACAGCAGAUUCUCCAUGAUGUCUCAGUGACCUCAUGUCCUAUAUGUGGUCUGAUACCACAAGGCUCUGUCUUGCUAUAUGUGAACAAGGAAGUACAUUUUGUUCCUGCUCCUCUUCAGGAGCCUUUAAGUUGUUCCCUGGUAUCCUUUCAGCAUCAAACUCAGUAUUUCUUUUGACAAAGGACAAAGAAUGAGAUCCUGUCCCUACAGGUCACCUCUAUUACACACUCCUCUUUUUAUGUGAAUAUUGUUCUGUUUGCCACAUCUCUGAGCACUUACAAGGACUUGUAAAUAAUGAGGUACUUCACAUCUCGAUAGAAAUUAAUAUUAAAUCCAGAUUUCUUUUUGUGCUAAGAUAUGGAAUCCAGAUCUUCAUUUUGGAGUCUGGGGAGCAAUAAAUAGGGUCCUUUGAGAUCAGCCCCAAGCCAAACUUUCUCUCUUUGAACAUUUCUAAAUUAUACCAAACUAGCCAAUAGAGGAAAUUUGCUCAGCAAGAGCACAGGGGUAGACGUAAAAGUGCCUAGAAGCAAGAGGGAAGCAAGCAUUGUGGGAGUAGGCCCUAUUUAGCAUUCCUCAACAUCAGGAAGCCUCUGGGAUCACAAGUUGUAUGGAAGAAUGCUAAUAGAGAAAUUAGGUGCCCUCCCAGCAACCAUGAUCAACAGAGGCAGGUAAUAAAACCUUCCUGAAAAAGGAAUCCGAAAAAUACUUGUCUUAUCCUGCCGGGGUCUUAGAAGAAGUCAGAGGCACAAUCUGAGCAAUCCAGCAGGUUCAUACCAUCAAAAUCAGAUAUAGGUCCCACCAGAAAAUGAUCUCAUUAAGGUUUGUGUUCUCUUAAGAAUUACUGAGGAAGUGAAGAAAAUCACUCCCAAUCUUUAUAUGAAAUGCAA